GUGGGGAAUCUUGCGCAAUGGGCGAAAGCCUGACGCAGCCAUGCCGCGUGAAUGAUGAAGGUCUUAGGAUUGUAAAAUUCUUUCACCGGGGACGAUAAUGACGGUACCCGGAGAAGAAGCUCCGGCUAACUUCGUGCCAGCAGCCGCGGUAAUACGAAGGGGGCUAGCGUUGCUCGGAAUUACUGGGCGUAAAGGGCGCGUAGGCGGACAGCUUAGUCAGAGGUGGAAGCCCAGGGCUCAACCUUGGAAUUGCCUUUGAUACUGGCUGUCUUGAGUUUGGGAGAGGUGAGUGGAACUCCGAGUGUAGAGGUGAAAUUCGUAGAUAUUCGGAAGAACACCAGUGGCGAAGGCGACUCACUGGCCCAAUACUGACGCUGAGGCGCGAAAGCGUGGGGAGCAAACAGGAUUAGAUACCCGUGUAGUCC
This 425-nucleotide ribosomal RNA is filed under the name uncultured bacterium. Its description in RNAcentral is "partial 16S ribosomal RNA". It matches the Rfam family "Bacterial small subunit ribosomal RNA", at positions 354 to 796 of the family's 1533-position model. The record is from RNAcentral.